UCCCUCUACUCAUAAAGAUGUCAAACUGGCCCUUCAAAUUAUUGAAAUAUUCCAACAUGGUUUCAACAUUCAUUUAACUACUAGCUUGUCAUUUCAAUGGAUAAAAAUGCCCCUCCCUCAUGUAGAUAGUUUGAAAUGGGUUUCAACUACCCCCUCCCAAUUCUAAGGAUUCUUCCUUUCGACUCUUUUGCUUACGUCUUCCUUUCUUCAAUGAAUUUUUGGUGGCCAUCAAUAAUCCCACCCUCCGCUCAGGUUUGACUAUCCAUCCUUACUCAUGC
RNAcentral lists this long non-coding RNA (278 nucleotides) under Elaeis guineensis (African oil palm). RNAcentral describes it as "long non-coding RNA (EGUI_LNC031040)". Lineage: Eukaryota; Viridiplantae; Streptophyta; Magnoliopsida; Arecales; Arecaceae. The record is from RNAcentral.